CACUGUGUUUAUAAAGCAGGAAGUGGAAAGCUGCUCCAUCGCUUGUCUCCUUCCUGUCUACAAAGGUCCAGUUGGUGAGGACAGCAGGGGCAGAGACGGACAACGUGGCAUCUAUAAAAACAGAAGACAGACUACAUAUUCCAGUCCUUGGGAAGAAGACCUUUGAGUAGCAUCAAUGCACCGCUUGUUUGUGUCUCCCGCUUGCAAGUAUUAUUCAAUAAAUGUGCUGUUUAAUGAUUUA
Pungitius pungitius (ninespine stickleback) is the source of this 241-nucleotide long non-coding RNA. RefSeq lists it as uncharacterized. NCBI's taxonomy places the organism in Eukaryota, Metazoa, Chordata, Actinopteri, Perciformes, Gasterosteidae. The transcript is spliced from 2 exons. The record is from RefSeq and is a predicted model, not a curated record.